UACAGAGUGAGUUCCAAGGACAGUCAGGGC
Molecule: non-coding RNA, 30 nt
Filed under: Rattus norvegicus (Norway rat)
Lineage: Eukaryota; Metazoa; Chordata; Mammalia; Rodentia; Muridae
Source: RNAcentral